GAAAUCAGAGGAAACUAUCUUUGUAGAAGAGUCGCAUAAAAAUCAGAGACAGAUGUUCAGGCCACUGGAAGAGACAGUCUUCUGCUCUAAACUUCCUCAUGCAUCACCUGUCUGUCUGUAACUACGCGACACUGAAUCAUAAUUUUUCAGCAAUCACCUGCAGCCAUAGGCUUGAUGAGACAGUGCUGCUGUCGUUACAUGCACUGCCAGGGUGUGGGUGAGCACAGACUCUCACCUAAAGAAGCGUUCCCUUGACAUUUCUGCUGUUCAAGACAAGUAUCUACAACGGCAAGUCUUGCCGAACACAAAAUUGUGGCUGAAGUAAAUAAUAAUAUUUCAUGUUCAGUUGAAUGCCUGAUCUUAUUGCUGUUUAGCUUUGCCAGCAUAUUUAGAGCAAUAUUCUAUGGAAGCUUCUCCAGCAAAGUUCUGCCUGGAGUUUGCUACUGUUGGAACAAAACAUCGGUUUCCAUCUGAGUUUCCUUGAAGCCUUUGUGUGGACUUUCCCACCUGAUUAGCACCAAAUCUGUUUUCACUCAUCAGAAUAUCCACUAGAUCUAUCAGCAACUGGAUUUUCCCAGGACCUAGCAUUCUUCAGUCUUAAGAACAUCUCCAAAUAACUGUUCAUCAUCCUUCCCAAUAUCCUACCAG
Molecule: long non-coding RNA, 648 nt
Organism: Empidonax traillii (willow flycatcher)
Lineage: Eukaryota; Metazoa; Chordata; Aves; Passeriformes; Tyrannidae
Exons: 3
Source: RefSeq, a predicted model, not a curated record